GGGGAUAUAGCUCAGUUGGUAGAGAGCUUGCCUCACAUGUACAAGGCCCCUGGGUUCAAUCCCCAGCACCACCA
Molecule: non-coding RNA, 74 nt
Organism: Ictidomys tridecemlineatus (thirteen-lined ground squirrel)
Lineage: Eukaryota; Metazoa; Chordata; Mammalia; Rodentia; Sciuridae
Source: Rfam